RNAcentral lists this transfer-messenger RNA (388 nucleotides) under Candidatus Omnitrophota. RNAcentral describes it as "JANLHA01 sp024653845 Standard tmRNA". It matches the Rfam family "transfer-messenger RNA". From Rfam's summary of the family: Bacterial tmRNA, also known as 10Sa RNA or SsrA, is named for its dual tRNA and mRNA-like properties. Its role is to liberate the mRNA from a stalled ribosome. The record is from RNAcentral. Lineage: Bacteria; Pseudomonadati. RNAcentral also lists the same sequence under 1 other name.
GGGGGUGAUCGGUAUCGACUUGAGUGAAGCGUCAUAUAGGUGGCAUGCCGAGGAAGCCUAGUAGGCCUCGUUAAUCAUCUGGGCACACAUUAAAUGCUAACUACGAUGUAGUUGCAGAAGCCGAGGCUAUUUUAGCCGAAGCGACACCAGCCUUAGUUUAAAAAAUAAACUAAGCCCUCUUUAGCGCAGCGCCUGCGGGUGCUAAAAAGGACUCUAGCAGGCUGGUUCCACUGAAUGCCUUUGGCGGUGGAACGAGACCUUCAAAGGCUCGCCUUAGUCAAUCUCGUCUGUCGGAGUGGCUAAGGUCAAACUAAAAGGCAGUCUAAGCAUGUAGAGGCUUAUAUGAGGUCACCUAAGGACCCGGGUUCAAUUCCCGGCACCUCCACCA